UNGACAGGGAAGCCAGGGUGUUUGCUGC
RNAcentral lists this non-coding RNA (28 nucleotides) under Mus musculus (house mouse). The record is from RNAcentral. Lineage: Eukaryota; Metazoa; Chordata; Mammalia; Rodentia; Muridae.